RNAcentral lists this ribosomal RNA (930 nucleotides) under Lepiota sp. RNAcentral's name for it is "partial large subunit ribosomal RNA". It matches the Rfam family "Eukaryotic large subunit ribosomal RNA", at positions 43 to 961 of the family's 3401-position model. Lineage: Eukaryota; Fungi; Basidiomycota; Agaricomycetes; Agaricales; Agaricaceae. The record is from RNAcentral.
UCAAUAAGCGGAGGAAAAGAAACUAACAAGGAUUCCCCUAGUAACUGCGAGUGAAGCGGGAAAAGCUCAAAUUUGAAAUCUGGCAGUCUUUGGCUGUCCGAGUUGUAAUCUAGAGAAGUGUUACCCGCGCUGGACCGUGUACAAGUCUCCUGGAAUGGAGCGUCAUAGAGGGUGAGAAUCCCGUCUCUGACACGGACUACCAGGGCUUUGUGGUAUGCUCUCAAAGAGUCGAGUUGUUUGGGAAUGCAGCUCAAAAUGGGUGGUAAAUUCCAUCUAAAGCUAAAUAUUGGCGAGAGACCGAUAGCGAACAAGUACCGUGAGGGAAAGAUGAAAAGAACUUUGGAAAGAGAGUUAAACAGUACGUGAAAUUGCUGAAAGGGAAACGCUUGAAGUCAGUCACAUUGACUAGGGAUCAGCCUUGCAUUGCAUGGUGUACUUUCUGGUUGAUGGGUCAGCAUCAAUUUUGACUGCUGGAAAAAGGCUUGGGGAAUGUGACAGCUCUGGCUGUGUUAUAGACCCUUGUCAUAUACAGCGGUUGGGAUUGAGGAAUUCAGCACGCCGCAAGGCCGGGUUUCGACCACGUUCGUGCUUAGGAUGCUGGCAUAAUGGCUUUAAGCGACCCGUCUUGAAACACGGACCAAGGAGUCUAACAUGCCUGCGAGUGUUUGGGUGGAAAACCCAAGCGCGUAAUGAAAGUGAAAGUUGAGAUCCCUGUCGUGGGGAGCAUCGACGCCCGGACCAGAACUUUUGGGACGGAUCUGCGGUAGAGCAUGUAUGUUGGGACCCGAAAGAUGGUGAACUAUGCCUGAAUAGGGUGAAGCCAGAGGAAACUCUGGUGGAGGCUCGUAGCGAUUCUGACGUGCAAAUCGAUCGUCAAAUUUGGGUAUAGGGGCGAAAGACUAAUCGAACCAUCUAGUAGCUGGUUCCUGC